UACGUAGGUGGCAAGCGUUGUCCGGAUUUAUUGGGCGUAAAGCGCGCGCAGGCGGGAUGAUAAGUCUGUCUUAAAAGUUCGGGGCUCAACCCCGUGAUGGGAUGGAAACUAUCAUUCUUGAGUAUCGGAGAGGAAAGUGGAAUUCCUAGUGUAGCGGUGAAAUGCGUAGAUAUUAGGAGGAACACCAGUGGCGAAGGCGACUUUCUGGACGAUGUCUGACGCUGAGGCGCGAAAGCCAGGGUAGUGAACGGG
Molecule: ribosomal RNA, 252 nt
Filed under: uncultured bacterium
Lineage: Bacteria
Description: partial 16S ribosomal RNA
Rfam family: Bacterial small subunit ribosomal RNA
Source: RNAcentral